RNAcentral lists this transfer RNA (69 nucleotides) under Nyctibius bracteatus (Rufous potoo). Its description in RNAcentral is "tRNA-Asp". The record is from RNAcentral. Lineage: Eukaryota; Metazoa; Chordata; Aves; Nyctibiiformes; Nyctibiidae.
GAGGUGUUAGUAAAUCAAUUACAUAAUCUUGUCAAGAUUAAAUUACAGAUGGAACCUCUGUACAUCUCA